GAAUUGGAAGCUAAUUUUCAGCAUUGGUCUUGUAAAUCAAAGAUAGAGAACUUCUCUCAAUUCU
Molecule: transfer RNA, 64 nt
Filed under: Eisenia nordenskioldi
Lineage: Eukaryota; Metazoa; Annelida; Clitellata; Crassiclitellata; Lumbricidae
Description: tRNA-Thr
Source: RNAcentral